Molecule: unclassified non-coding RNA, 362 nt
Filed under: Hevea brasiliensis (rubber tree)
Lineage: Eukaryota; Viridiplantae; Streptophyta; Magnoliopsida; Malpighiales; Euphorbiaceae
Source: RNAcentral
CUCUUGUUGCAUCAUUGCCAUGUACUUCCUCCAUGCAGAUAUCACACAUCACCAUGGAAGAAGGCUCAGAGGAACUGUUACUUCGAUUCUCAAUCAUAGUAACACCAGCUGUAGCAAACAAGUGACUUUUCCCUUUCUCCACAAGUACUGCAAACAAUUUCUCUACAUCCCAUCGGUAAUGAAUGAGUAAGGUCCGAGCAUGGUAUUCCCUCAACGAUAGCAAGUCCAUCACUCUACGCAUAUCCUCCUUCUGUGCCGCAAGGAGAGAUUCCUUCGUAAUAACCUUAGUCGCGGGACCUUUAGGAACCCACUGAAUUUCAGAGUCCUCGUUCUCAAGACCAUGGAGAGAGUCUCGAUCGGAG